GCUCUCGGGUGACGAGCGGCGGACGGGUGAGUAAUGUCUGGGAAACUGCCUGAUGGAGGGGGAUAACUACUGGAAACGGUAGCUAAUACCGCAUAAUGUCGCAAGACCAAAGUGGGGGACCUUCGGGCCUCAUGCCAUCAGAUGUGCCCAGAUGGGAUUAGCUAGUAGGUGGGGUAACGGCUCACCUAGGCGACGAUCCCUAGCUGGUCUGAGAGGAUGACCAGCCACACUGGAACUGAGACACGGUCCAGACUCCUACGGGAGGCAGCAGUGGGGAAUAUUGCACAAUGGGCGCAAGCCUGAUGCAGCCAUGCCGCGUGUGUGAAGAAGGCCUUCGGGUUGUAAAGCACUUUCAGCGGGGAGGAAGGCGUUGAGGUUAAUAACCUUGUCGAUUGACGUUACCCGCAGAAGAAGCACCGGCUAACUCCGUGCCAGCAGCCGCGGUAAUACGGAGGGUGCAAGCGUUAAUCGGAAUUACUGGGCGUAAAGCGCACGCAGGCGGUCUGUCAAGUCGGAUGUGAAAU
This 524-nucleotide ribosomal RNA is filed under the name Klebsiella pneumoniae. Its description in RNAcentral is "bacterial SSU rRNA". It matches the Rfam family "Bacterial small subunit ribosomal RNA", at positions 80 to 600 of the family's 1533-position model. Lineage: Bacteria; Pseudomonadati; Pseudomonadota; Gammaproteobacteria; Enterobacterales; Enterobacteriaceae. The record is from RNAcentral.